Molecule: long non-coding RNA, 1400 nt
Organism: Grus americana (Whooping crane)
Lineage: Eukaryota; Metazoa; Chordata; Aves; Gruiformes; Gruidae
Exons: 5
Source: RefSeq, a predicted model, not a curated record
GCUGAGCCGCGCCGCGGAGGCGGCCCGGGGGCGGGGGGCCGCGGCGGUUCGCGCCCUGCCCUCGGCCCAGCCCAGACCCGGGAGCCGCCCACGUCUGCCCGCUUCGAUUCUUCCAGGGGCCGCCGAGGGCUGUGGUUACUUUGCUCUUCCUCUGAAGCAACCUGUGAUGUUGUUUCCCCCAGUCCAGCCCAAAUGAAAGAGAAGAUUCCUAAUUGCAGGAAAAGAAAGAAGCUGGUCUUUUGAUCCUGUACUGCUCAAAAUGGAACUAAACCCACAGAACAUUUUGCCAGAUCUUUUGUGGUAAAGCAGUAUCCUAACUGUUUGCAACAAGCCUUUCUGCUUCCUUCCACAAAGUGAGACAUCAGAAGAACGCCGUUGGAAAAGGAAGGUAACAAAAGGAAGGUCAUUCCCUGGAAGGUGGUGACUGUUGAGUUCCUGAAGAGGGGAAAGAGCUCUUUCUAACUACUGCAGUUUGAUAAAACCGGCAUCGCUGGAAGCUAUGAGUAUGGCUGUCAUCCAGGAAGAUGAUAAACUCCAACACCUUAUAAUUAUUUUGGCAAAAACAACUUGGAACAAUGCAUCUGAAAUUAAAGGGUACUGAAAAAAUAGAAAGUGUGGUGAAUGCACUUUCAAUACCUCUUUCUGUUGUUCUUUGAGGAUAAAAUUCUCUCUUCUCUACAAUUUAUAUGAAGUGAGAGCAAAUCUGACAACUCUCACCACUACCGGAUGCCCCAUGUGUCAGCAGUCACUUUGGCUGGGAUGUGUGGAACAGACUCUGAACCAUUCCUCCCCCAGGCUUAUCGCUGGAGCGGGGCUAGCUCUCCAAAAAAUAUUCUAUUUACACUUCAAUCCUCAACCACACAUCAGAGAGCCUCUCACAAGGUCUGGGGUGUUCCAGCAACUGCGGUCCAUCAAAUGUAUUUAAGAAUGUAAAAAAAAGAUAAGGAAAGCUGUGGAUGAGAUGCUGGGCUGGGAGUCAGGAGGCUUUGGUGCUGCUCCAGCGCAGGCAGAGACCUGCCAGGUGGGGUGGGGAAGCUCUCAUUCCCACUGCCCCAUGCUCCCCUUCCACUCUUUGCUUCAUCUCUGUAAAAGCUUGAAGCCUUUUGGGAAAACAGCGUGUCUGCAAGGCCGUACACAGUACGGAGCGCUAGGCAGCUACACUCUCAUACUGAGCUUUUAGGCACCACUGAAAUAUCAACAAGAAUAAAUUGGCUUAGACAGCAACCCUCCCCUCCUCUUCAUCGCCGCUAGCCGUGUAGCAAAUGCAACCUAAAAUCUCUGCAGCACCUUCCCAGACCCAAAAGUACCCCUGAGCUGCCCUGAGCCCCACGGGAGCUGGCUGGGGCAGAAGGGCUCUGCAGCUGCGCCGGGAAGGUCAACAAAUUCUGACAUUUGUUCAA